Molecule: ribosomal RNA, 642 nt
Filed under: uncultured bacterium
Lineage: Bacteria
Description: bacterial SSU rRNA
Rfam family: Bacterial small subunit ribosomal RNA
Source: RNAcentral
UGGGGAAUAUUGGACAAUGGGCGGAAGCCUGAUCCAGCAACGCCGCGUGAGGGAUGACUGCCUUCGGGUUGUAAACCUCUUUCAUCAUUGACGAAGCUCAGCGUUUAGUUGGGUGACGGUAGGUGGAGAAGAAGCACCGGCCAACUACGUGCCAGCAGCCGCGGUAAUACGUAGGGUGCGAGCGUUGUCCGGAAUUAUUGGGCGUAAAGGGCUCGUAGGCGGUUUGUCGCGUCGGGAGUGAAAACACUGGGCUUAACCGAGUGCUUGCUUUCGAUACGGGCAGACUAGAGGUAUGCAGGGGAGAACGGAAUUCCUGGUGUAGCGGUGAAAUGCGCAGAUAUCAGGAGGAACACCGGUGGCGAAGGCGGUUCUCUGGGCAUUACCUGACGCUGAGGAGCGAAAGUGUGGGGAGCGAACAGGAUUAGAUACCCUGGUAGUCCACACCGUAAACGUUGGGCGCUAGGUGUGGGGUCUAUUCCAUGGACUCCGUGCCGCAGCUAACGCAUUAAGCGCCCCGCCUGGGGAGUACGGCCGCAAGGCUAAAACUCAAAGGAAUUGACGGGGGCCCGCACAAGCGGCGGAGCAUGCGGAUUAAUUCGAUGCAACGCGAAGAACCUUACCUGGGUUUGACAUAUACCGGAA